UCCAGUCGCGGAUACGGCGCGCGAUGGC
Molecule: small RNA, 28 nt
Filed under: Bombyx mori (domestic silkworm)
Lineage: Eukaryota; Metazoa; Arthropoda; Insecta; Lepidoptera; Bombycidae
Description: ovarian small RNA-1102
Source: RNAcentral